AUAUUUAGAAGCACAAGAGCAAGGAGUACAUUGAUCUACCCCAUCUAAUACCUUUUGGAGGGUGGUGCCUCCUAGAUUGGCUAGGUGUCACUUGGGAGCCUCCUACUUCAUGUUGUGGAGUUGAACCAAGAUGUUUGUAAGGGCAAGGAGAUCGCCUACUUCGUGAAGAUCUACUGUGAGUAAGGCUAGUCCUCCGUGGACAUAAGCCGUGGUGGGAUAGACAAGGCUACUUCUUUGUGGACCCUCCAUGGAUGGAGCCCUCCGUGGACUCUC
RNAcentral lists this long non-coding RNA (273 nucleotides) under Hordeum vulgare. RNAcentral describes it as "long non-coding RNA (HVUL_LNC004528)". The record is from RNAcentral. Lineage: Eukaryota; Viridiplantae; Streptophyta; Magnoliopsida; Poales; Poaceae.